UACGGAGGGUGCGAGCGUUAUCCGGAUUUAUUGGGUUUAAAGGGUCCGUAGGCGGACUCGUAAGUCAGUGGUGAAAUCUCACAGCUUAACUGUGAAACUGCCGUUGAUACUGCGGGUCUUGAGUAAGGUAGAAGUGGCUGGAAUAAGUAGUGUAGCGGUGAAAUGCAUAGAUAUUACUUAGAACGCCAAUUGCGAAGGCAGGUCACUAUGUCUUAACUGACGCUGAUGGACGAAAGCGUGGGGAGCGAACAGGAUUAGAUACCCUGGUAGUCCACGCCGUAAACGAUGCUAACUCGUUUUUGGGGCUUUGGCUUCAGAGACUAAGCGAAAGUGAUAAGUUAGCCACCUGGGGAGUACGUUCGCAAGAAUGAAACUCAAAGGAAUUGACGGGGGCCCGCACAAGCGGUGGAUUAUGUGGUUUAAUUCGAUGAUACGCGAGGAACCUUACCAAGGCUUAAAUGGGAAUUGACAGGUUUAGAGAUAGACUUUUCUUCGGACAAUUUUCAAGGUGCUGCAUGGUUGUCGUCAGCUCGUGCCGUGAGGUGUUAGGUUAAGUCCUGCAACGAGCGCAACCCCUGUCACUAGUUGCUAACAUUAAGUUGAGGACUCUAGUGAGACUGCCUACGCAAGUAGAGAGGAAGGUGGGGAUGACGUCAAAUCAUCACGGCCCUUACGCCUUGGGCCACACACGUAAUACAAUGGCCAGUACAGAGGGCAGCUACCAGGUGACUGGAUGCGAAUCUCGAAAGCUGGUCUCGGUUCGGAUUGGAGUCUGCAACUCGACUCUAUGAAGCUGGAAUCGCUAGUAAUCGCGCAUCAGCCAUGGCGCGGUGAUACGUUCCCG
This 844-nucleotide ribosomal RNA is filed under the name uncultured Bacteroidota bacterium. RNAcentral's name for it is "bacterial SSU rRNA". It matches the Rfam family "Bacterial small subunit ribosomal RNA", at positions 524 to 1376 of the family's 1533-position model. The record is from RNAcentral. Lineage: Bacteria; Pseudomonadati; Bacteroidota.